UGUGGAUGUAUAUAUUGACAUGAAUUGAAGAUUAAGACCCAUGUUGGAGUAUGUGCAAGUGUGACGUCUGUGAUAUGGUCAGUUAUUUCCGCUGAACACGAUUUGUGCUUGGCCCUCGGUGUGAUGCGGUAAUUAAAACGACAUUAUUCAAUAUUACAAAUGCGAAAAUAGCCAAGGCAAAAAGGCUUUGGAAAAGAAGGUCGGGUGAGGGACGACGCGUCGUCUUCAACAGGCGUUUAUUGCUCCUUGGACGAAAGUAGACUAUCUAGAUGGGAGCAAGAAAGAAGUCAUAAUGGAUAGAAAAGCCACCGGUAAUGGGAACGGGCUCGAGCUCGUAAAACCCUUUUUCCUGCCCACGUUUCCUGCCCUUGUGGCACAGGCCAACACAAUGAGGGCGAAGCCUUUGUGGCAAGAGCAUCUCAGUGACACGAAGCUGACGCUGGAAUAACUCAAACUAUGCACCUUGGCCCCGAGCAGCGACUGAUAGAGCGUGCAAAAUCAAUAACCAUCAGCCGAAACUCUUAUGCCCAUAACGGAAUUAUAUGAAAGUACGCCACAUGCUUGGGGAAAUCACUAAAUUCAGCCCAGUUCGAGCCUCGACUUCGUGUCUCGCCUAGUUCAGCGGUGGCAGCUGACUAACCACGCUGUCUCAUCUUUUAUGCAUACGCACACAGAUGUUCGCCCACUGAUAACUGAGACUGCUUAUCUCGUUGCCCGCUGCCCCUCUCAGGCUGCACGCCCGCCUGUUCGGCUUCAGGAGUCAACUGCAUGUGACAUUUGCAUGCUUACUUAAACAGCAAAAGGCAGAAAGAGGCUCUGCGUCUACGUCUGGCACGUCUGGGUCGUCAGCUAUGCCAUACAUUUUGGUGGCACGUCUGCAGGAGAAUUGCUCAAUGUCUCGGCACUACAGCUGGAGAGAGAGAGACAGAGAG
Molecule: long non-coding RNA, 932 nt
Organism: Drosophila hydei
Lineage: Eukaryota; Metazoa; Arthropoda; Insecta; Diptera; Drosophilidae
Exons: 3
Source: RefSeq, a predicted model, not a curated record